RNAcentral lists this long non-coding RNA (508 nucleotides) under Phoenix dactylifera (date palm). RNAcentral's name for it is "long non-coding RNA (PDAC_LNC022934)". The record is from RNAcentral. Lineage: Eukaryota; Viridiplantae; Streptophyta; Magnoliopsida; Arecales; Arecaceae.
CAGUACGAGGUCUUUUCGGCGUACGGAGUAUUUGUACGCCACCCAUACCAGAUAUCAAUACCGAACCGGUACAGUAUGUCUCGUACCGGCUGGUUCGGUACCGGUACAGCGAACCAUGCCAACAAGCUUUCUAUAUCUUUAGAUAUGCUGCUUUACAAAAUUUUGAUAUUAGGCAGACACAACUUUUGCUGCCUGAGUAAGUCUAGCAUUGGCCUGCAUUAUGCCUAAUUUCUAGCUAAAGUUUUCUCCUAAAGGGACCUGUACACUAAUCAACUUCAUGGUUUUCAAAAGCAAACGGUACUCUUAAGGUGACAUGAUCUCUAUAUCUCUUGAGGUGCUAGGUGCUAAAAAAGUGCUCACCCGAGGAAAGCAGGUCACUAAUUUGUGAAAAAUGCAAUAAAUAUUGUUUCUACGUAAAAACAAUGCAAACAUUGUAACAGUAUUCAUUUAAGUUUCAACAUCCUACAUCAUAAUUGUCUUAGACAUUAACCAUCAUGUCUCACAUCAA